RNAcentral lists this unclassified non-coding RNA (201 nucleotides) under Melitaea cinxia (Glanville fritillary). Its description in RNAcentral is "misc RNA ENSMCXG00005013275.1". The record is from RNAcentral. Lineage: Eukaryota; Metazoa; Arthropoda; Insecta; Lepidoptera; Nymphalidae.
CUGGUCGUGACAGUUUGAUAGUAGCUCAAAGCGUUCUUUUAAAUAGGAAGGCGUCUUUGGAUUAAACAGUACGCAGUAGAGAAGUGAGAGUGUGACUAUUCCGGCGAAGUCGAAUUGGGUGCCACCCGAGCUUUUUGCGAAACUCAGAAAUGUGAUAUUGUCAUCCGUCAAAUAGCAUUAUCCACAAAAGGUGAAACAGGC